This is a long non-coding RNA of Gasterosteus aculeatus aculeatus (three-spined stickleback), 2304 nucleotides long. NCBI's taxonomy places the organism in Eukaryota, Metazoa, Chordata, Actinopteri, Perciformes, Gasterosteidae. The record is from Ensembl.
CCCGGCGUCGCCUGGCGGUCGCGCUCCGUGCGGAGAACAUCUGGGGCAGACGGGCCGUCUCGGACUCGCUACAAAUCGGGCGCCCGGGGAGAAGCGCAGGGCCAUCGGGGGCCGAACCCAGCGCGCGCACCAACCCACCCGGGCAUAGAGGCAGACCCGCGUUCCGGGGAACCCUCCGCCCAUCUGGCGGGGGCCCCCGGGUGGCGGGUCACGGUUGCAAAUCGGUCAGAAUUUUCACGUAAAGCAUUUCCUCCACCGGCGCGCCCCGGCCGAAGCCAAAGCGCCCGGGGACGGCGCACCGCCGGCGGGCGCGCGCACCGGAGGCGGGCCGCCCCGCCUCCGCUCAAGCAAUCUCGUUCGAUCAAAGUGUUUCACCCACCGGCGCGCCCCGGCCGAAGCCAGGGCGCACCGGAGGCGGGCCGCCCCGCCGCCAUCUCUCUCGCUCAGCGAUCCAGCCGCGAAACCCACCGACCAGCCACAGUGCCCGGAACGAGGCUCCGGUUCGUUCACCCUCGCCACUGUCCGAGGGCGUCCGAAAAUACUGAGGUCUGAGUCGGAUCCAAAACGCACAAACGUCGGUCCUCACUCCUGGAGGCCUAUGUUUCUAAAAACCAGGUUUCUGAAAUCUGCGACCUGGUGGCCCAGUGAUGUCGGCUACAACUUUUUUUUUCCGGUCCGAUCAAAAUUCUCCAGGCAUUUUCUGAGCUUUCCUUCACAUAGUCCGACUUUUACUUAGUUUCUGACGGAGCCAAAAAAGUCCGGGUUUUUUUGCCCUCCUUAUCGUCCCGACUGGAAACUUUAACUCCGGAUUUUAAGUCAGAAAAUUAAAGUCCUUUUCAUCCAGGAGACCGACCCUUCCUGCAAAGCGUCCCAAAUGGUCCUUCGUCGUCGGAUAUCUGUCGGGAAAUACCGCUCCAUGGAACUGUUUAUUUCAUCCAUCCACUGCACCUGCUGUUCUGACAUCAGCAUCCGAGAAUAGUGUCCCGUACUGGGACAUGGUCUGGGUUCUGCCGCUCUCUGGAACUCUGUAUUCAUCCAUGCGUUACACCUGCUGUUCUGACAUCAGCAUCCGAGAAUAGUGUGUCGUUCUGGGACAUGGUCUGGGAUCUCCUGCUCUAUGGAACUGUUUACUUCAUCCAUCCACUGCACCUGCUGUUCUGCCAUCAGUGUCCGAGAACAGUGCUUCUUCAUCGGAUAUCAGCCGGGAUCUCACGCUCUCUGGAACUGUUUAAUUCAUCCAUCCACUGCACCUGCUGUUCUGCCAUCAGUGUCCGACAACGGCGCUUCAUCACCGGAUAACUGCCGUGAAAUACCGCUCUCUGGAACUGUUUAUUUCAUCCACCGCACCUGCUGUUCUGCCAUCAGUGUCCGACAACAGCGCUUCAUCAUCGGAUAACUGCCGUGAAAUACCGCUCUCUGGAACUGUUUCUUUCAUCCAUCCACCGCACCUGCUGUUCUGCCAUCAGUGUCCGACAAUAAAGCUUCGUCAUCGGAUAACUGCCGUGAGAUACCGCUCUCUGGAACUGUUUAAUUCAUCCAUCCACUGCACCUGCUGUUCUGCCAUCAGUGUCCGAGAACAGUGUGUCGUUCUGGGUCAUGGUCUGGGAUCUCACGCUCUCUGGAACUGUUUAAUUCAUCCAUCCACUGCACCUGCUGUUCUGCCAUCAGUGUCCGACAAUAGCGCUUCUUCAUCGGAUAUCAGCCGGGAUCUCACGCUCUCUGGAACUGUUUAUUUCAUCCACCGCACCUGCUGUUCUGCCAUCAGUGUCCGACAACAGCGCUUCAUCAUCGGAUAACUGCCGUGAAAUUCCGCUCUCUGGAACUGUUUAUUUCAUCCACCGCACCUGCUGUUCUGCCAUCAGUGUCCGACAACAGCGCUUCAUCAUCGGAUAUCUGCCGUGAAAUACCGCUCUCUGGAUCUGCUCUGUUCUGGCAGGUAAUCAGGGAGAUUUUAAGUAGAUGAGUGUCCGGGAAUAGUGGGCCGUUCUGGGACUUGGUCUGGGAUAUCACGCUCUCUGGAACUAUGUUCUGUUUAUUUCCUUCAUCCAGUGCACCUGCUGUUCUGCCAUCAGUGUCCGACAAUAGCGCGCCGUUCUGGGACUUGGUCUGGGAUAUCACGCUCUCUGGAACUAUGUUCUGUUUAUUUCCUUCAUCCAGUGCACCUGCUGUUCUGCCAUCAGUGUCCGACAAUGGCGCUUCAUCAUCGGAUAUCUGUCGUGAAAUACCGCUCUCUGGAACUGUGUAUUAGUCCGUCCGCUGCACCUGCUGUUCUGACAUCAGCAUCCGAGAAUAGUGCGCCGUUCU